RNAcentral lists this ribosomal RNA (496 nucleotides) under uncultured bacterium. RNAcentral describes it as "partial 16S ribosomal RNA". It matches the Rfam family "Bacterial small subunit ribosomal RNA", at positions 28 to 506 of the family's 1533-position model. The record is from RNAcentral.
GAUGAACGCUGGCGGCGUGCCUAAUACAUGCAAGUCGAGCGAACAGAUGAGGAGCUUGCUCCUCUGACGUUAGCGGCGGACGGGUGAGUAACACGUGGAUAACCUACCUAUAAGACUGGGAUAACUUCGGGAAACCGGAGCUAAUACCGGAUAAUAUAUUGAACCGCAUGGUUCAAUAGUGAAAGACGGUUUUGCUGUCACUUAUAGAUGGAUCCGCGCCGCAUUAGCUAGUUGGUAAGGUAACGGCUUACCAAGGCAACGAUGCGUAGCCGACCUGAGAGGGUGAUCGGCCACACUGGAACUGAGACACGGUCCAGACUCCUACGGGAGGCAGCAGUAGGGAAUCUUCCGCAAUGGGCGAAAGCCUGACGGAGCAACGCCGCGUGAGUGAUGAAGGUCUGCGGAUCGUAAAACUCUGUUAUUAGGGAAGAACAAAUGUGUAAGUAACUAUGCAAGUCUUGACGGUACCUAAGCAGAAAGCCACGGCUAACUACGU